GCAAAUGAAUGUAACUUUUGUUUGCUUAUAUACUUUAUCAUAUCUUCUUCUCUCAUUUUAAAACACAGGAAAUAAAGAAGUGUCUUCAGAAGUGUGGAAUAAGGAGGGACGUUGAUGUUUUCCAACUGAGCCUUGCCGAAAAAAAACUCACCAGCGUCCCUGACCUGUCCAGAUUUCACUUCCUGAGGGAGCUGUGGCUGAAUAACAACAAGAUCAGAGAGCUCAGCUGUCGUUCCCUCAACUGCUGCUUGACUGAACUUUACCUCCACAACAACAGCAUCAAGUCUAUUUCUGGGGCUCUAAAUCAUCUGACCUGCCUCCGACUUCUCUUCCUCCACAACAACCAGAUCCGAGGGCUGGACGACACGAUGCACGAGCUGAGGAGGAUGCAGCAGCUCCAAACUGCAACUUUUUUCCUCAACCCCAUCUCUCAUCAACCUGGGUAUCGCCACCAUGUGAUCCACUGCCUGCCGUCGCUCCAGGUUUUAGAUGGAAAAGAGGUGAAGUCGGCGGAGAGGAAGAAGUCCUUCCAGAUGCACAGCCAGGAGCGCCAUCGCGUCCUCCAGUCUGUGGCCUUCUGCAGACGGGCGACAUAACUCCACGAGCGGGAGAGGAUGUUUGUUAUUAACGCUGGCCAAUAGUCUGAUCAUUACACAGUGAAAACAUG
This is an RNA transcript of Larimichthys crocea (large yellow croaker), 667 nucleotides long. RefSeq lists it as uncharacterized. Lineage: Eukaryota; Metazoa; Chordata; Actinopteri; Sciaenidae. The transcript is spliced from 6 exons. The record is from RefSeq and is a predicted model, not a curated record.